Molecule: transfer RNA, 64 nt
Filed under: Arcoscalpellum epeeum
Lineage: Eukaryota; Metazoa; Arthropoda; Thecostraca; Scalpellidae
Description: tRNA-Trp
Source: RNAcentral
AAUGUUUUAGGUUAAGAAAACCUAAGGCCUUCAAAGCCUUCAUUGAGAAGUCUCUUAAACAUUA